Molecule: long non-coding RNA, 172 nt
Filed under: Sinocyclocheilus grahami
Lineage: Eukaryota; Metazoa; Chordata; Actinopteri; Cypriniformes; Cyprinidae
Description: lncRNA (ENSSGRG00000050572.1)
Source: RNAcentral
CAGACAAUCCAGUCAGGCUCCAAUUAAAGGACUGUGACAUUCCCAGGCGAGCCUUUUCCCACGAAACUGCCACUGUGGAAACAUCUCUCCUCAACGACAACAACUUUGGGAAAAGGAGACCUUGGAAAUCAGUGAUAAAACACGGAAAUGAACUGACCUCAGAUCAGAGCUC